GACAGUGUGGCUCAAGUGGUAGAGCACUUGCCUAAGAAGCAGGAGCCCUGAGUUCAAGCCUCAGUGCUGUCA
Molecule: non-coding RNA, 72 nt
Organism: Castor canadensis (American beaver)
Lineage: Eukaryota; Metazoa; Chordata; Mammalia; Rodentia; Castoridae
Source: the annotation of a RefSeq genome assembly